Molecule: long non-coding RNA, 293 nt
Organism: Alosa sapidissima (American shad)
Lineage: Eukaryota; Metazoa; Chordata; Actinopteri; Clupeiformes; Clupeidae
Exons: 4
Source: RefSeq, a predicted model, not a curated record
GACUUAGGAUUGAGUCCCCUCUCUGCGAGAAAUUAUCACUGGGUUCAAGGAAGACCCAGGCCCAAAUAAAGCUGCUAUGUCUAAGGUCAGCCCCUUUUCCUCAGCUAUUCAAGUUGGCAGUAAUCUAAUAUUAAAGACCAAGCCAAUGUCCCGCUCACCUCUGAAGAAGGGAAAGAUACACAUGAAGCCUGUUGGUUGGCUCGGCAGUAGCAGUCCAUGAAAGGGCUGAAGCAGCUGACCUUUCUCCUUCGGCACUCCUACAAGCCAGGGUAGAUUCUUGAUGUCCAGUACUG